UACGAAGGGGGCUAGCGUUGUUCGGAAUUACUGGGCGUAAAGCGCGCGCAGGCGGUUUUUCAAGUCAGUGGUGAAAGCCCGGAGCUCAACUCCGGAAAUGCCAUUGAAACUGCAAAACUUGAGGACGAGAGAGGUGAGUGGAAUUCCCAGUGUAGCGGUGAAAUGCGUAGAUAUUGGGAGGAACACCAGUGGCGAAGGCGGCUCACUGGACUGGUACUGACGCUGAGGCGCGAAAGCGUGGGGAGCAAACGGG
RNAcentral lists this ribosomal RNA (253 nucleotides) under uncultured bacterium. RNAcentral's name for it is "partial 16S ribosomal RNA". It matches the Rfam family "Bacterial small subunit ribosomal RNA", at positions 524 to 776 of the family's 1533-position model. The record is from RNAcentral.